AGCGAACGCUGGCGGCAGGCCUAACACAUGCAAGUCGAGCGCCGUAGCAAUACGGAGCGGCAGACGGGAGAGUAACACGUGGGAACGUGCCCUUUGGUUCGGAACAACCAAGGGAAACUUGGGCUAAUACCGGAUAAGCCCUUACGGGGAAAGACUUAUCGCCGAAGGAUCGGCCCGCGUCUGAUUAGCUAGUUGGUGGGGUAAUGGCCCACCAAGGCGACGAUCAGUAGCUGGUCUGAGAGGAUGAUCAGCCUCACUGGGACUGAGACACGGCCCAGACUCCUACGGGAGGCAGCAGUGGGGAAUAUUGGACAAUGGGCGCAAGCCUGAUCCAGCCAUGCCGCGUGGGUGAUGAAGGCCCUAGGGUUGUAAAGCCCUUUCGGCGGGGAAGAUAAUGACGGUACCCGCAGAAGAAGCCCCGGCUAACUUCGUGCCAGCAGCCGCCGUAA
Molecule: ribosomal RNA, 449 nt
Filed under: uncultured bacterium
Lineage: Bacteria
Description: partial 16S ribosomal RNA
Rfam family: Bacterial small subunit ribosomal RNA
Source: RNAcentral